CUUAUAUGUUAUCAUUUAAGUUUUUAUUUUUAUUAAGAAUGAUUUGAAUGAUAAAACGCAUUUUUACAAUGUGAAAAACUAAAUAAUCGAUCUAUUGAUUGCUCCAAACCAUAAGCUAUUCUAUACUGAAUGUUCUACAACUUCUACAUUUGGCGAUCUGAAAUUUUGUCUAUGGCAAUUUUACCAACUGUCAAUCUGAAAAUGGAAUUCAGACCAUCACAUGAAUUUGCUCCUACUUAUUUCAUAAAACUAAAUGGUCAGGAAACCUAGUGUCCGUACUUCUGGUCCAGCGUACUUAUUUACUUAUUUAUUUUACGUGCCUAAGUAUCGACAAUGCGUGUGUGACAGUGUCAGUGAAAUAAAUCCAAAGUUGGGAAUCGUUUCUACAAACAAGUAAGCUGACAACUACAUUUAAGAGAUUCCCUGUGCCUGAAAUAUACAACUGUUAUCGAAGAGAAAUAAGUUGAAAUUAUGGUGUGGGAAACUCCAUUUGCUGAUUAUGAAAAAUGUUUCCUGACCCUUAGCACAAACAAAACCAACUUGAUGGCUGUCUGCUACCCGGUGACAAGCUGAGCGGAGCAAAUUCCCAUUGUUGCCCACAAAGGACCCUCCGAGUGCUUCGACACUACCCUAUGUUUCCCGGAGGCUGACUUUGUCCCGGAGUGUCAAGGUGCCUUCACUGUACAUCUACUGACUGCUUCCAUUUAUGACAGCCUACCAAGACAAUGCUGAUACAUGAAGACUCCUGUUUGCUGGCUUCAUCUCAAGAAUUUUGCUGCAAAAAUGGCUGCUGUCUACACGCAGCGCUACAAAAAAAAUUGAACCCCCCAUUUUUCUUCACGUUAGAUAUCAAUGACACAAGAAGAUGGAUUUAUAGUUGUGAUAACACACAUCUUUAGCUGAGAAAUAUGAAAAGGAAUCCCUAACACCGCCGAGAACGAGUGAAAAUAAUAAUGUAGUUGUACCUAAACUUCGUCAAGAGAUGACGCCACCUCCGAGAUAGAACGCGCCAACGAUGUGUCGACGUAUAAUCAUGGCGUCCGAGAUACAAAUUACCGAUCGAUUUAGAAUUUUUGGAGAAGAUUAGUGCCUGUUGGCUGCAUAAAUGCAUACCCCUGGUGAGGUUACAGUAGCUUCGCACAAGUUUAUCAGUCAUUUUACAUAGUGUUGUAAUAAAUAAGCUAACUACGUUGUUUUCGACUGCGGAGAGUAACCCUUACUACAAUAGAAUAAUAAUAAAAUAUUAUACCAUUAUAUUUUAUAAGCUACUCGAGUUUUAUUUUCUAUCUGUACAUAAUAACUAUGGAAUGAUAAAUUUAAUGUUUCAUGAUUUUUAUUUAAAACCUUCCUACGUGUAAAUAAUAACUUGAAUAAUAAAAUUAAUGUAUCACGACUAUUAUUUAAGACACCAAAGAACUACCCAAAAAUAAGCAUACUCACUCCGUUUUCACGCCAACAAAAGCCAUAAAGGCUACUUAUACAUAGAUAUUUCUAGAAAAACCGUAGUAAUCCAGGUAAACUACAUCCUGGUCACGGCACCAAAAUGUACCCUCCCCCUCAUUAUUUCUAAAUAUAUAAAUAAAUAUCCCCUUAAUAAACUACUCGUAAUAUUUGGCCUCGUAAUCGUCUAGUUAACA
Molecule: long non-coding RNA, 1637 nt
Organism: Cydia fagiglandana
Lineage: Eukaryota; Metazoa; Arthropoda; Insecta; Lepidoptera; Tortricidae
Exons: 6
Source: RefSeq, a predicted model, not a curated record